RNAcentral lists this ribosomal RNA (3002 nucleotides) under Salmonella enterica subsp. enterica. RNAcentral's name for it is "partial 23S ribosomal RNA". It matches the Rfam family "Bacterial large subunit ribosomal RNA". The record is from RNAcentral. Lineage: Bacteria; Pseudomonadati; Pseudomonadota; Gammaproteobacteria; Enterobacterales; Enterobacteriaceae. RNAcentral also lists the same sequence under 1 other name.
GGGUUGUGAGGUUAAGCGACUAAGCGUACACGGUGGAUGCCCUGGCAGUCAGAGGCGAUGAAGGGCGUGCUAAUCUGCGAUAAGCGCCGGUAAGGUGAUAUGAACCGUUAUAACCGGCGAUACCCGAAUGGGGAAACCCAGUGUGAUUCGUCACACUAUCAUUAACUGAAUCCAUAGGUUAAUGAGGCGAACCGGGGGAACUGAAACAUCUAAGUACCCCGAGGAAAAGAAAUCAACCGAGAUUCCCCCAGUAGCGGCGAGCGAACGGGGAGGAGCCCAGAGCCUGAAUCAGCAUGUGUGUUAGUGGAAGCGUCUGGAAAGGCGCGCGAUACAGGGUGACAGCCCCGUACACAAAAGCGCAUGUGCUGUGAGCUCGAUGAGUAGGGCGGGACACGUGGUAUCCUGUCUGAAUAUGGGGGGACCAUCCUCCAAGGCUAAAUACUCCUGACUGACCGAUAGUGAACCAGUACCGUGAGGGAAAGGCGAAAAGAACCCCGGCGAGGGGAGUGAAAAAGAACCUGAAACCGUGUACGUACAAGCAGUGGGAGCACCCUUCGGGGUGUGACUGCGUACCUUUUGUAUAAUGGGUCAGCGACUUAUAUUCUGUAGCAAGGUUAACCGUAUAGGGGAGCCGGAGGGAAACCGAGUCUUAACCGGGCGUUAAGUUGCAGGGUAUAGACCCGAAACCCGGUGAUCUAGCCAUGGGCAGGUUGAAGGUUGGGUAACACUAACUGGAGGACCGAACCGACUAAUGUUGAAAAAUUAGCGGAUGACCUGUGGCUGGGGGUGAAAGGCCAAUCAAACCGGGAGAUAGCUGGUUCUCCCCGAAAGCUAUUUAGGUAGCGCCUCGUGAAUUCAUCUCCGGGGGUAGAGCACUGUUUCGGCUAGGGGGCCAUCCCGGCUUACCAACCCGAUGCAAACUGCGAAUACCGGAGAAUGUUAUCACGGGAGACACACGGCGGGUGCUAACGUCCGUCGUGAAGAGGGAAACAACCCAGACCGCCAGCUAAGGUCCCAAAGUCAUGGUUAAGUGGGAAACGAUGUGGGAAGGCCCAGACAGCCAGGAUGUUGGCUUAGAAGCAGCCAUCAUUUAAAGAAAGCGUAAUAGCUCACUGGUCGAGUCGGCCUGCGCGGAAGAUGUAACGGGGCUAAACCAUGCACCGAAGCUGCGGCAGCGAACGUAUCACCCAAGACAACUUUACGGAGUUGACGAUUGACGGAGCGAAGCGACGUCAAAGCGUUCAUUAAAGUCGAGUUGGCUUAGGGAUACGUUCGUUGGGUAGGGGAGCGUUCUGUAAGCCUGUGAAGGUGUGUCGUGAGGCAUGCUGGAGGUAUCAGAAGUGCGAAUGCUGACAUAAGUAACGAUAAAGCGGGUGAAAAGCCCGCUCGCCGGAAGACCAAGGGUUCCUGUCCAACGUUAAUCGGGGCAGGGUGAGUCGACCCCUAAGGCGAGGCCGAAAGGCGUAGUCGAUGGGAAACGGGUUAAUAUUCCCGUACUUGGUGUUACUGCGAAGGGGGGACGGAGAAGGCUAUGUUGGCCGGGCGACGGUUGUCCCGGUUUAAGCGUGUAGGUGUGUGUUCCAGGUAAAUCCGGUUCACUUUAACACUGAGGCGUGACGACGAGGCACUACGGUGCUGAAGCAACAAAUGCCCUGCUUCCAGGAAAAGCCUCUAAGCAUCAGGUAACAUCAAAUCGUACCCCAAACCGACACAGGUGGUCAGGUAGAGAAUACCAAGGCGCUUGAGAGAACUCGGGUGAAGGAACUAGGCAAAAUGGUGCCGUAACUUCGGGAGAAGGCACGCUGACACGUAGGUGAAGUGAUUUACUCAUGGAGCUGAAGUCAGUCGAAGAUACCAGCUGGCUGCAACUGUUUAUUAAAAACACAGCACUGUGCAAACACGAAAGUGGACGUAUACGGUGUGACGCCUGCCCGGUGCCGGAAGGUUAAUUGAUGGGGUCAGCGCAAGCGAAGCUCCUGAUCGAAGCCCCGGUAAACGGCGGCCGUAACUAUAACGGUCCUAAGGUAGCGAAAUUCCUUGUCGGGUAAGUUCCGACCUGCACGAAUGGCGUAAUGAUGGCCAGGCUGUCUCCACCCGAGACUCAGUGAAAUUGAACUCGCUGUGAAGAUGCAGUGUACCCGCGGCAAGACGGAAAGACCCCGUGAACCUUUACUAUAGCUUGACACUGAACAUUGAGCCUUGAUGUGUAGGAUAGGUGGGAGGCUUUGAAGUGUGGACGCCAGUCUGCAUGGAGCCGACCUUGAAAUACCACCCUUUAAUGUUUGAUGUUCUAACGUGGACCCGUAAUCCGGGUUGCGGACAGUGUCUGGUGGGUAGUUUGACUGGGGCGGUCUCCUCCUAAAGAGUAACGGAGGAGCACGAAGGUUGGCUAAUCCUGGUCGGACAUCAGGAGGUUAGUGCAAUGGCAUAAGCCAGCUUGACUGCGAGCGUGACGGCGCGAGCAGGUGCGAAAGCAGGUCAUAGUGAUCCGGUGGUUCUGAAUGGAAGGGCCAUCGCUCAACGGAUAAAAGGUACUCCGGGGAUAACAGGCUGAUACCGCCCAAGAGUUCAUAUCGACGGCGGUGUUUGGCACCUCGAUGUCGGCUCAUCACAUCCUGGGGCUGAAGUAGGUCCCAAGGGUAUGGCUGUUCGCCAUUUAAAGUGGUACGCGAGCUGGGUUUAGAACGUCGUGAGACAGUUCGGUCCCUAUCUGCCGUGGGCGCUGGAGAACUGAGGGGGGCUGCUCCUAGUACGAGAGGACCGGAGUGGACGCAUCACUGGUGUUCGGGUUGUCAUGCCAAUGGCACUGCCCGGUAGCUAAAUGCGGAAGAGAUAAGUGCUGAAAGCAUCUAAGCACGAAACUUGCCCCGAGAUGAGUUCUCCCUGAGACUUAGAGUCUCCUGAAGGAACGUUGAAGACGACGACGUUGAUAGGCCGGGUGUGUAAGCGCAGCGAUGCGUUGAGCUAACCGGUACUAAUGAACCGUGAGGCUUAACCUUACA